UAAAGCACCGCAGGCAUCUCCAGGCCCGC
Molecule: small RNA, 29 nt
Filed under: Bombyx mori (domestic silkworm)
Lineage: Eukaryota; Metazoa; Arthropoda; Insecta; Lepidoptera; Bombycidae
Description: ovarian small RNA-18316
Source: RNAcentral